CCUACGGGUGGCAGCAGUGAGGAAUAUUGGACAAUGGACGAAACUCUGAUCCAGCCACGCCGCGUGAAUGAAGACGUCUCUAUGUGUUUAAAGCUGUAUUUGCACGAAGGUAAAUGCCGAUACGCGAUUAAGACUCCCCGGCUAACUAGGUGCAAGCAGCGGCGACACUACGUAGGGGGCAAGCGUUAUCCGGAUUUACUGGGUGUAAAGGGGGCGUAGUCGGCUGGAAAAGUCUGGAGUGAAACGCCGGGGCUUAACCCCGGAACUGCUUUGGAUACUGUGCAGCUAGAGUGUAGGUGCGGUAGGCGGAAUGCAUGGUGUAGCGGUGAAAUGCUUAGAGAUCAGGCGGAACACCAGUGGCGAAGGCAGCUUAC
Molecule: ribosomal RNA, 374 nt
Filed under: uncultured bacterium
Lineage: Bacteria
Description: partial 16S ribosomal RNA
Rfam family: Bacterial small subunit ribosomal RNA
Source: RNAcentral